Long non-coding RNA from Choloepus didactylus (southern two-toed sloth), 382 nucleotides. RefSeq lists it as uncharacterized. The record is from RefSeq and is a predicted model, not a curated record. Lineage: Eukaryota; Metazoa; Chordata; Mammalia; Pilosa; Megalonychidae. The transcript is spliced from 3 exons.
GUCCUUACAGUGGCCUAAAGCUCAACACAAUAUUCCCCUCAUCUUCCCUCCCAUUACUUCACUAAGCCUCCACUCCUCAGACUCUAACCUGUGCUCACUCCACUCAAGCACAGUUACAGUAUGUAUGAGAGCAAAGAGCUGUUGAAGGAGGAGAAAUGAAAAUGGGAAUAUGACAAAGCUGCAAAGAUGAGCUUCGAUAACUCAAAUUGGCCUGAGCCCAGCCCCUCAUUCAAGGUUUACACCUGUGUUUCCUGUUCAGAAAGAGCCACUGAAAUUGGAUUGGAACUCAAGAAGUCGUCUUAAACAGAUGGCCAUAAUGCCAAUCAUGGCAAUCCUGAUCUCCGUUUGUUUGUAGCACUCUCCACCACCUCCUGUCCAUCAC